GUGGGGAAUAUUGGGCAAUGGGCGCAAGCCUGACCCAGCAACGCCGCGUGAAGGAAGAAGGCUUUCGGGUUGUAAACUUCUUUUCUCAGGGACGAAGAAAGUGACGGUACCUGAGGAAUAAGCCACGGCUAACUACGUGCCAGCAGCCGCGGUAAUACGUAGGUGGCAAGCGUUAUCCGGAUUUACUGGGUGUAAAGGGCGUGUAGGCGGGACUGCAAGUCAGAUGUGAAAACCACGGGCUCAACCUGUGGCCUGCAUUUGAAACUGUAGUUCUUGAGUACUGGAGAGGCAGACGGAAUUCCUAGUGUAGCGGUGAAAUGCGUAGAUAUUAGGAGGAACACCAGUGGCGAAGGCGGUCUGCUGGACAGCAACUGACGCUGAGGCGCGAAAGCGUGGGGAGCAAACAGG
This 408-nucleotide ribosomal RNA is filed under the name uncultured bacterium. RNAcentral's name for it is "bacterial SSU rRNA". It matches the Rfam family "Bacterial small subunit ribosomal RNA", at positions 354 to 776 of the family's 1533-position model. The record is from RNAcentral.